CAGAGUUCAUGCCCUACACGGGUAGAUCUCCCACCCUUUGUUAUCAUUACCUUCGUUGCUUUGGCGGGCCGUCAGGCCUCGGUCAGGCUACCGGCUCCAGCUGGUAAGCGCCCGCCAAAGGACCCUAAAACUCUGAAUGUCAGUGUCGUCUGAGUGCUAUAUAAUAGUUA
Molecule: unclassified non-coding RNA, 170 nt
Filed under: uncultured Hyaloscyphaceae
Lineage: Eukaryota; Fungi; Ascomycota; Leotiomycetes; Helotiales
Description: sequence contains ITS1
Source: RNAcentral